Long non-coding RNA from Equus asinus (donkey), 2150 nucleotides. Lineage: Eukaryota; Metazoa; Chordata; Mammalia; Perissodactyla; Equidae. The record is from Ensembl.
CGCCUCGGAGAGCUGGGAGGGGGCCCAGCGGGGCUCCUGGCGAGGCGCCCGCACGCUGUGAGCCCUUCCCAAACGGCAGCUUAAAUUACAAACAAAAAGAGAAGCUGGGGAAGUCAGGAUGGGCCCAGGCUGCUUGUGACAGGGACCCACAUCCAGGCAGGAGGGAGGCCUGCUCUUCCCACCUUCCAGCUCUCGGAGCCACAUGCCCCGAAGCCCGUAGGCCUCCGUCCAGCUGCGCCUGGGCUGACAGUGUCCCCAUCUUCCCGGCGGGGCGAGGACCAGAGGGGCGCCUGCCAUCCUGCUCUCACCAUUGGGGUGAGCCCCUCUCUCAGCUCCCCCCGCCCGACGCUGUGUCAGCAGCUUGAGAACAAACCCCCCGGGAGUGGGUGCUGCUGGGAACACACCCUCAUGCGUCUCGGUACCACAAUACGAAGACGAGUCCAGAAAGAGGAGAAACAGGGUUCUAGAGAAAAUUGUUUCAAGGAGAAAAGCAAGCAACGCGAACAAAAGGUGGAGGAGGAGGAACAACUGAAAAUUCAGGAGACAAAGACUCCAGGGUCCUAGUGGACCACCAGCUGAGCACUAGUCGGUUGGCUGCUGUUUGAAAUAGCUCCUUAGCCCUGAACUAUGAUAGUAGCCUUGUUAAGGUGAGCACCACAAAACACUGUCCCGUCUCGGGUGUAGGAUGCGCUGGGAAUACCUGACCCUCUGUCUCUUUUUCGGGUGCCGUAAUCACUGUUUAUGAACUUGUAUCCUUCUCGUCUGUGGCCCCCACAGGAAACCAGGUGAGAAAGUUCGAGACUCUAUUCCCUUACUCUCCUUCAGCUCCCGACAAAGUGUAUCGAAGGCUGCUCUUUGCUUACCCCAUAUCCACAACCCUGUCUUCCUCGGCAACAGAAAGCCCAUAGUGUUGGGUGUAUCAGUGGGCUUUUUAUGAUACCACAGUUCCUAGCCAAUAGGAUGUAAGCAAAAGUUAUUGGGUGGGAUUCCUGGGAAAGUCCCUCAAGGAAGGCUGACUCAGCAGGGAGGCAUGCCCUUUCAACCUUGCCCCUUUCUCCUUCCCACUGCCUGGAAUGUGAAUGUGAUGUCUGGAGCUGCAGUAAUGAUUUUGGGAUCAUGAGGUGACCUCAAGGAUGGGAGCCUCACAUGGGUGACGGCAGAGAGCAGGAUGGAGGAGCCUGGGCCGCUGAUGGCUUUGGGGCUGCUGUAUUAAUCCUGGACCGGCUGCCUCUAGACUUUUCUACGUGAGAGAAAAAUUGAACCUCUAACUUAUUCUAGCCACCGUUCUUUUGGUUCUGUUCACCGUGGCCAGGUGCAAUUCUUAACCAAUACCAAGAGCUUUGGAGCACAUCCAGUGCAUCAUUUCCCAUGGCUAUUCAUAAAUAAAGAGGAAUUUGAUGUGGACGUGGCAGGGAGUCCCUAAGGUGACACCGGGAGGCGCAGCCUGCUGUUUGCAGGCCUGGGGACUUGUGUUGGCCUGGCCUUCUCUGCAGGAAUGGACGUGACAAGAGAUCUUCACAUAUCGGGGUAUAUGGCAUCGCUCUUCUCGUUCCAAGUGCAUUCAACUUGAACUAAAGAAGCCCGACUCAUCGGCUGUCACACGUACAUGGCACGUCUGCAUUAGCCGUUAAAGUAAAGAGUGCGUUAAACAUUAUCUCGGCAUAAAAGAACGCACCCUCUUUAAGAUAAGAACGCCUACUUCCAGGAUCCACAAAGCCCUUUGGUGACGCCUACUAGUCCUCCUGCAGGAAUUCUUUAGGGUUCCCUGGUGACCCUGAAGUAUGGUGCCCUAGAGGAAAGACAGGGGAAUGGUGAGUCCUUUCCUCUUCACUGGUGGCCUCCGUUACAGCAGCGACCUGGCCCUUCCUGGAUUUGUGGCCCACAUCAAGGCAGGAGAGAGAGAAGAAGGCUGAGGAAGGUGACAGCAGACGUGGUUUCCAAGGAAACAGGAAGCAAUCACCAGGCCCUCUGAGGAUCAUUAUUUCUUUGUCCUGCUAAAAGCCAGAUGCUCCCACCUUCUAAGCCAGCUCAGACGGUUGAGCAGGCACCAAAAUGGGUCCCCAGGGAGGAGACAAGGGGCUGGGGGAGCCUAUGGAGGGGGCGCUACUCCCUCUGCUGGACCCCCUUCCUCUCACGAGGCCUCCCCUUCC